RNAcentral lists this ribosomal RNA (433 nucleotides) under uncultured bacterium. RNAcentral describes it as "partial 16S ribosomal RNA". It matches the Rfam family "Bacterial small subunit ribosomal RNA", at positions 29 to 507 of the family's 1533-position model. The record is from RNAcentral.
AACGAACGCUGGCGGCAUGCCUAACACAUGCAAGUCGAACGAGACCUUCGGGUCUAGUGGCGCACGGGUGCGUAACGCAUGGGAACCUGCCCUUAGGUUCGGAAUAACUCCCCGAAAGGGGUGCUAAUACCGGAUAAUGUCUUCGGACCAAAGAUUUAUCGCCUUUGGAUGGGCCCGCGUUGGAUUAGCUAGUUGGUAGGGUAAAAGCCUACCAAGGCGACGAUCCAUAGCUGGUCUGAGAGGAUGAUCAGCCACACUGGGACUGAGACACGGCCCAGACUCCUACGGGAAGCAGCAGUGGGGAAUAUUGGACAAUGGGCGAAAGCCUGAUCCAGCAAUGCCGCGUGAGUGAUGAAGGCCUUAGGGUUGUAAAGCUCUUUUACCCGGGAUGAUAAUGACAGUACCGGGAGAAUAAGCGCCGGCUAACUCCGUG